Molecule: ribosomal RNA, 407 nt
Filed under: Verrucomicrobiota bacterium
Lineage: Bacteria; Pseudomonadati; Verrucomicrobiota
Description: Verrucomicrobia bacterium partial 16S ribosomal RNA
Rfam family: Bacterial small subunit ribosomal RNA
Source: RNAcentral
UGGGGAAUAUUGGACAAUGGAGGAAACUCUGAUCCAGCAAUUCUGUGUGUGUGAAGAAGGUUUUAGGACUGUAAAACACUUUUAGUAGGGAAGAAAAAAAUGACGGUACCUACAGAAGAAGCAACGGCUAAAUACGUGCCAGCAGCCGCGGUAAUACGUAUGUUGCGAGCGUUAUCCGGAAUUAUUGGGCUUAAAGGGCAUCUAGGCGGUAAGACAAGUUGAAGGUGAAAGCCUGUGGCUCAACCAUAGGCUUGCCUACAAAACUGUUGAACUAGAGUACUGGAAAGGUGGGUGGAACUACACGAGUAGAGGUGAAAUUCGUAGAUAUGUGUAGGAAUGCCGAUGAUGAAGAUAACUCACUGGACAGAAACUGACGCUGAAGUGCGAAAGCUAGGGGAGCAAACAGG